RNAcentral lists this long non-coding RNA (884 nucleotides) under Theobroma cacao (cacao). RNAcentral's name for it is "long non-coding RNA (TCAC_LNC002778)". Lineage: Eukaryota; Viridiplantae; Streptophyta; Magnoliopsida; Malvales; Malvaceae. The record is from RNAcentral.
GUAAAUAUGGAGAGCCAAAACAACGGCAAGGUGAGUGCAGUCGAUGGAGUGGGGAGCAAGAGGGAAGUGGCCACGCCAAGAAAAGUGAAUAGCUGUGACUUGAUUCUGAGGGUUUUGGCUCUGCUGCUGACACUUGUAGCUGCCAUAGUUCUCGGGGUGAAUAAGCAGACUAAGGUUGUUCCAAUUCAGAUCGCACCAACCUUGCCUCCUCUAAACAUUGAAGCCCAAGCUAGGUGGCAUUACUUGUCUGCCUUCGUGUAAGUCAUCUAUUCAUACACUUGCAAUGAUGUUUCUUUCAAUGAAAUGUUCAUGCACUUCAAAAAAAAAAAAAAAAAACAGUUGCAAUUCAAGUAAGGUUCCACAAAUGAUGGUCUGUACGUUAGAUAUUAAUGUAAUUAUUUAAAUUUAUAUUUUUAUUAAAAAUAUAUAUAAAUGUGUCUAUUUCACAUUGAAAUGAUUAUUUUACUUCUCAAAAUUAUAAUUUCUUUGUUCUCUUUUUUUUCUUUAUACCCAAUUUUAAUUAGCUUUACUAAGUUGUUUUAAUAAUUUUUUUUCCUUUUAACAAAAGAAAAGCGUAGAGAUUUCCCACCCAUUGGAACCACUUGAGUUAAUUAGUCGAAAUUACUUUCUUUCCAUACAAAAUUCUUUUAAGUACUUACCAAGGUCAACUGGGGGACCUGGAACUCAAGAACAUGGCCCCUUUAUUGAAAUCAUAAAUAUACAGAGGCGGAGCCUCCUUAAGGGAUGGGUCCUCCAAAAUUUUUUAAUGUUUUUUUAUAUUAUAUAAAAUUUUUAAAUUUUUUAAAAUUCUUUUAAUGAUUUUCAAAAUAAUUUUAUUUAAUAAUUAAUAUAAAUAAAAACUAAUAAAAUAAUUCUAUAUAUUU